This 161-nucleotide ribosomal RNA is filed under the name Hordeum arizonicum. RNAcentral describes it as "5.8S ribosomal RNA". It matches the Rfam family "5.8S ribosomal RNA". Rfam says of the family: 5.8S ribosomal RNA (5.8S rRNA) is a component of the large subunit of the eukaryotic ribosome. It is transcribed by RNA polymerase I as part of the 45S precursor that also contains 18S and 28S rRNA. Lineage: Eukaryota; Viridiplantae; Streptophyta; Magnoliopsida; Poales; Poaceae. The record is from RNAcentral.
ACGACUCUCGGCAACGGAUAUCUCGGCUCUCGCAUCGAUGAAGAACGUAGCGAAGUGCGAUACCUGGUGUGAAUUGCAGAAUCCCGCGAACCAUCGAGUCUUUGAACGCAAGUUGCGCCCGAGGCCACUCGGCCGAGGGCACGCCUGCCUGGGCGUCACGC